AUUAUAUAAAGGAACCAAACCAUCGUAAGCAGUUAACAUUUUCGUUUGAGUAUGUUAAGCUUUCAUAUAUACGCACCCGGGUUCGAACCGCUGGCCAGGCAAUUGGGGUAUCUAAUUCCCCAUAGUACCAAAUGGUCCGCCUCGCGCCGAGGGGUUGGCCCCUGGGGGUGGAAGUCCCUCCAGAUUAAACAAAAAAAAAAAAAAAAAGCUUUCAUAUUUUCUUAAUCAAUUGAAUCUCACUAUUUUAUGUUAUUUUGUAGAUCAUAUACUCUUUUUCUAUAUCGUUUCAGUAACAACGUUUUUCGCUUUUAAAUCUGAUCAUAUACCACUCCUAUAUCAUUUUAAUAACUCUAGCAUUUUCGUUCCUAAAUCUGAUCAUAUACCUCUUCUUUUAUAUCGUUUCCAUAAGACUAAUAUUUUCUGCAAUGAAUCCGGUAAAUAAUUGUGGUUUGAUUUAAUGUUCAAAGGUUUUGUGGUUUAAAUACUUAACUUAUUUGUGUAAAUACAUGUAUAUUUGGAGAUUGAUACUAAUACUUGAGUGUGAGUUUCCAGUAAGUUACAUAUUGUUUAGCUCACAGAUUUUGGACAAUGUUUUGUAGGAUGCGUUCACAAUCCUUUUUUUGGUAAAAGUGUAUUCACAAUCUUUUUUCUCUUUUAUACUUUUCUUCUUAUCUUUUUGUUUUUCAGCAUACUUAUAUGGUAAAUCUCUAUAAAUUUAAUUUAUACGGUUUUGUUAUGCUUAUGAUCCAUUUUUUUUUCUUUUUUCUAUUUGUUUUCUUAGAUUUUAGGCGGAGACGAUGGUUUAGACGCUGUAACGAGGAAAAUCUAAUGGGACUGAUUAACGCUCUGGACGCUGAUCUUUGUUCUUAAUUGUUACGAGGAGCCUGGUGAAGGUGUCCAUGAUCAGCAAGUCUCUUCUUUCUUUGUUCGUGUUCAUUAUCUCAAGAACGCAAAAUUGAUUGUUGGUUAAAUUAUCUUAUAUAUUAAGCUAAUUUUGUUUCCUCUGUUUCUCCAGAUCAAUGAAAUUUUUUUUUAGUUCUUCUUGCCCUUAAGAAGAAAAAGUGGGAUGAUGAUAUUGGCUGUUUUAUGGAGCUGCAAACAGGUUGAAGACAGGCGAUGCUGAUUUGUAGAAGAUGACCGGAAACCUUCGCCGUUCACCGGUGGCACACAAUUCGAGAAGCUGUUUCAUCUUCUAUUUUAUGCAGCCACCGUGUAGUCUUUUUUUGUAACAGCAACACGUUUUCAUUUUUGAUGUAUGAUAAACUCACGUGUUUAGAGUUUCUUGGCCAUUAUCAUUAAAUUCUCUGUAUUAAGUAUUUGGACUUUAAAUUAAUAAUAUUGGG
Long non-coding RNA from Raphanus sativus (radish), 1343 nucleotides. RefSeq lists it as uncharacterized. The transcript is spliced from 3 exons. Lineage: Eukaryota; Viridiplantae; Streptophyta; Magnoliopsida; Brassicales; Brassicaceae. The record is from RefSeq and is a predicted model, not a curated record.